CAGAACACCAACUUACAGAAAUGUUUAGAAUAGUUUUGAUAACAAUGUUUGCCGCCAUUUUGGGGUAUAUGAGCCUGGCUUCUCCUCUGGAUGACGAAUAUGGAUACUGGGACUACAACUACACUGACCAUGAAUAUCGCAAAACACUGUUACUUGACCAAUAUUUUCAAUAAUUGCCUGCAAUAACAUGUUAUUUAACAUACAGCAAUAAAUAAGCCUAAUAAACUGUG
Long non-coding RNA from Homalodisca vitripennis (glassy-winged sharpshooter), 230 nucleotides. RefSeq lists it as uncharacterized. The transcript is spliced from 2 exons. Lineage: Eukaryota; Metazoa; Arthropoda; Insecta; Hemiptera; Cicadellidae. The record is from RefSeq and is a predicted model, not a curated record.